This 549-nucleotide ribosomal RNA is filed under the name uncultured bacterium. RNAcentral describes it as "bacterial SSU rRNA". It matches the Rfam family "Bacterial small subunit ribosomal RNA", at positions 834 to 1384 of the family's 1533-position model. The record is from RNAcentral.
CGGGGUUUAGUGCCGCAGCUAACGCAUUAAGCACUCCGCCUGGGGAGUACGACCGCAAGGUUGAAACUCAAAGGAAUUGACGGGGGCCCGCACAAGCGGUGGAGCAUGUGGUUUAAUUCGAAGCAACGCGAAGAACCUUACCAGGUCUUGACAUCCCUCUGACCGCUCUAGAGAUAGAGCUUUCCUUCGGGACAGAGGUGACAGGUGGUGCAUGGUUGUCGUCAGCUCGUGUCGUGAGAUGUUGGGUUNNNNNNCGCAACGAGCGCAACCCCUAUUGUUAGUUGCCAUCAUUCAGUUGGGCACUCUAGCGAGACUGCCGGUAAUAAACCGGAGGAAGGUGGGGAUGACGUCAAAUCAUCAUGCCCCUUAUGACCUGGGCUACACACGUGCUACAAUGGCUGGUACAACGAGUCGCAAGCCGGUGACGGCAAGCUAAUCUCUUAAAGCCAGUCUCAGUUCGGAUUGUAGGCUGCAACUCGCCUACAUGAAGUCGGAAUCGCUAGUAAUCGCGGAUCAGCACGCCGCGGUGAAUACGUUCCCGGGCCUNGU